GCUAACGUAGCUUAACCAAAGCAUGACACUGAAGAUGUUAAGACGAGCCCUAGAAAGCUCCGUAAGCA
RNAcentral lists this transfer RNA (68 nucleotides) under Oneirodes thompsoni. Its description in RNAcentral is "tRNA-Phe". It matches the Rfam family "tRNA". Rfam says of the family: Transfer RNA (tRNA) molecules are approximately 80 nucleotides in length. Their secondary structure includes four short double-helical elements and three loops (D, anti-codon, and T loops). The record is from RNAcentral. Lineage: Eukaryota; Metazoa; Chordata; Actinopteri; Lophiiformes; Oneirodidae.